Oryctolagus cuniculus (rabbit) is the source of this 9554-nucleotide non-coding RNA. The record is from RefSeq and is a predicted model, not a curated record. NCBI's taxonomy places the organism in Eukaryota, Metazoa, Chordata, Mammalia, Lagomorpha, Leporidae.
UUUUUUUUUUUUUUUUUUAAGUAAGUAUGAAGGCUGAAGUGAUUUACUGUUUUUCUAAUUCUAGGGCACUAAAAAUGGCUACUUUUAUCUUUUGACAUCACUGGUCAGUAAAGGAAAGUGAACUCUAAGAAUGAAAGAUUUGGAAGGAAAAAAGAACUCAAAGGACCACAACUUUCAAUUAUAAUUGAUAAGAGAAAUUGUAUCCUCUUCUAAUAGCCUCCCAAUUAAAAUCACACAAUCUACCAAUCUUUAAUCCCAACUACCUAAUAUAUCUUAAGGAAUUAGGUAUAAAGAACUCAUAUAGCUUAAAUGAUAUACUACUUUGUUGUAGAAUACAGGCAUUUUUCCCUUUUUUACUAAUGUCAGGUAAUACCAAUUACCUGGUUGGAGGAGUCACUAUUAUAGAUUUUCUUUCUUAUUUCAAGAGUUUUAAAAAGUCUUAUUUAUUUUAUUUUUAGUAAUAAAAAGGGAACAAAUUUCAUGUAUUUAAGAGUAUAAGGAUACUUCCAACCCUACCCUCCCUCUCUUAUUCCUACUUUUUCCCCUUCUUAUUUUUCUUUUAGUUUUUACAAUGACCUAACUUUCAAUUUUCUUUAUAAUAACAAGCUUAACCCACUAAAUAAAGAAUUCAACAAGUAAUAGCAGAAAAAUCACUGGUCAUCAAGAGUAUAAACAAGGGCUAUAAACAAUGACCAAAUCUCAAAAUGUCAAUUUUUCUCAAAUCCAUUACCUUUUUUUUGUACUCUAUGUAUUAGUUACUACAAACAGGGGAAAUAUAUGAUAUCUGUCUUUUGGGGACUGGCUUAUUUCACUAAGCAUAAUGGUCUCCAGUUGUGUCCAUUUUUUUGAAAGACAGGAAGAUUUCAUUCCUUUUUAUGGCUGAGUAGUACUCCAUCAUGUAUAUAUACCAUAUCAAGUCAUCAGUUGAUGGACAUCUGGGUUGGUUUCACAUCUUAGCCAUUGUGAAUUAAAGCUGCUAUAAAUGUUGGGGGCGGGGGGGUACAGAAAACCCUUUCAUGUGCUGAUUUCAUUUCCUUUGGGUAAAUUCCCAAGAGUGGAAUGGCUGAAUCAUAUGGUAGGUCUACAUUCAGAUUUCUUAGGAAUCUCCAUACUGUCUUCCAUGAUAGUUGUACUAGUUUACAUUCACACCAACUGUGUAUUAGGGUACCUUUUCCCCCAUAUCCUUGCCAGAAUUUGUUAUUUUUUGAUUUUUGGAUGACAGGCAUUCUAACUGGUGAGAGGUGAAAUCUCAUUGUGGUUUUUAUCUGUAUUUCCUUGAUGUCUAGUGAUGCUGAGCAUCUUUCCAUGUGUCUGUUGGCCACUUUUUUUUUUUUUUUUUUUUUUUUUUUUUUUUGGACAGGCAGAGUUAGACAGUGAGAGAGAGAGAGAGAGAGAGAGAGAGAGAAAGGUCUUCCUUCCAUUGGUUCACCCCCCAAAUGGCCACUACGGCCGGCGCUGCACCGAUCCGAAGCCAGGAGCCAGAUGCUUCUUCCUGGUCUUCAACGCAGGUGCAGGGCCCAAGCACUUGGGCGAUCCUCCACUGCCUUCCCGGGCCACAGCAGAGAGCUGGAAUGGAAAAGGAGCAACCGGGACAGACCCCGAUGCCCCAACUGGGACUAGAACCCGGAGUGCCAACGCCACAGGCAGAGGAUUAGCCAAGUGAGCCACAGCGCCGGCCCAUAUUUCAUACUUUGAAAAAUUCCUGAUCAUAUCCUUUGCCCAUUUCUUAACUGGACUGCUUGUUUUGCUGUUACUGAGUUUCCUGAGCUCCUUAUAUAUUCUGGAUAUUAAUCUUUUUACAGCUGUAUAAUUUGCAAAUAUUUUCUCUCAUCCUGUAGACUGCCUCUUUACUUUGCUGAGUGUUUCCUUUGCUGUGAAGAAGCUUCUUAGCUUGAUGUAAUCCCAUUUGUCUAUUUUUGUUUUAAUUGCCUGUGCUGCUAGGGUUUUAUCCAAGAAAUCUCUCCAUGCAAAUGUCUUGCAGUAUUUCCCUCUAGUAGUUUGAUGGCUUCAGGUCUCAGAUUUAGAUCCCUGCUCCAUUGUGACUUGAUUUUUGAACAGGGUUUAAGGUAGGGAUCUUGUUUAGUACUUCUGUAUGCAGAGAUCCAAUUUUCUCAACACCAUUUGUUGAAGAGACUGUUCUUUCUGCAGAGACUGAUUAUGGCCUAUGGGUGAAAUAUUAGUUGGUUGCAGAUGCAUGGAUUGAUUUCUGGGAUCUCUAGUCUGCUACACUGGUCAAUGAGUCAAUUCUUGUGCCAGUACCAAGCUGUUUUGAUUAUAACUUCCCUGUAAUAUUUUGUUAAGAUUUAUUUAUUUAUUUAUCUGAGAAACAGAGAUACAGAGAGAAGGAGAGACAGAGGGAGAGAGAGGUCUUCCAUUCACUGAUUCAAUCCCCAAAUGGCCGCAACAGCCAGAGCUGGGCCAGUCUGAAGCCAGGAGCCAGGAGCCUCUUCUGGGUCUCCCACAUGGGUGCAGGGGCCCAAGCACUUGGGCCAUCAUCCACUGCCUUCCCAGGCUAUUAGUAGAGAGCUGGAUUGGAAGAGCAGCAGCUAGGACACAACUGGUGCCCAUAUGGGAUGCUGGUGCUACAGGCAAAGUUUUAACUUACUACGCCACAGCUCCAGCUCCCUGCAAUAUGUGUUGAAAUCAGGUAUUCUGAUGCUUCCAGCUUUAUUUUUAUUGUUUUGGAUUGCUUUAGCUAUGCAGGGUCUCUUGUGAUUCCAGAUGAAUUUUAGGGUCAUUUUUUCCAGAUCUGAGAAGAACGUCUUUGGUGUUUUGAUUGGGAUUGCACUGAAUCUGUAAAUUGCUUUGGGUUGUAUGAACAUUUUGAUAUUAAUUCUUCCAAUCCAAGAAUAUGGAAGAUUUUUCAUUUUUUGGUGUCUUUUUUUCCCUUAAAAUUUUGUAAUUUUCACUGUAGAGAUCUUUCAUAUCCUUCAUUAAAUUUAUCCCAAGGUAUUCAAUUUUUUUUGUAGUUACUAUGAAUGGGACUGAUCUUAUAAGUUCUUUCUCAGCCACGGCAUUGUUUGUGUAUACAAAGGUUACUGAUUUUUGAGUGCUGAUUUUAUAUCUUGCAACUUUGCCAAACUCUCUUAUAAGUUCUAAUAAUCUCUUAGUGUACCCUUUAGUUCCCCUAUGUACAGGAUCAUGUCAUCUACAUACAGAAUAAUAUGGCUUCCCCCUUUCCCAUUUGUAUCCUUUUUAGUUCUUUUUCUUCUCUAAUGGCUCUGGCUAAGACUUCCAGAACUAUACUGAACUGUAAUGAUGAGAGUGAGCAUCCUUGUCUGGUUCUGGAUCUUAGUGCAAAUGCUUCCAGUUUUUACCCAUUCAAUAUGAUACUGACUGUGGAUCUGUCAUAUAUUGCCUUGAUUGUGUUGAGGCACCAACUUGAGUCCUGGCUGCUCCACUUUUGAUCCAGCUCCCUGCUAACAUACAUGGAAAAGCAGCAGCAGAUGACUCAAGUAGCUGGGCCCCUGCAUCCACAUGGCAGACCCGGAAGAAGUUCCUGGCUCUUAGUUUCGGCCUGGCCCAGCCCUGGGCGUUGCUGCCAUUUGCAGAAUGAACCAUCAGAUGGAAGAUCUCUCUCUCUCUUUCUGCCUUUUCCUCUCUCUCUGUAACUCUUUCAAAUAAAUAAAUAAAUCUUAAAAAAAAAAAAAAAAACAACUAUAAUAGUCCAGGCAAAAGUGGUGGGUCAGUAACACUGGGAGUAGGGAUAAUGGAGCGAACUAGAAAAACUGGUAGAAUAGAAGCUUUGAACUAACUGCAAGUUGAGAACUAGAGAGAGAUAGCUCUAUCAAUGAAGCAGCAAGGGGAAUGAUGCACUAAUAAUCACUCUUGAUUAAAUCACUCUCUGUCCACAUACAUGAUUUAGCUCACAAAGAGACCACACAGGAAAAAGCAGUAUAAAGUGGUUUGACAGUUAUGAUUCUAAAAUCAUACAGCCCUUUUUAAAAUUCUGGCUGUUCGGGACGGCGCCGCAGCUCACUAGGCUAAUCCCCCGCCUUGUGGCGCCGGCACACCAGGUUCUAGUCCCGGUCGGGGCGCCAGAUUCUGUCCCACUGCCCCUCUUCCAGGCCAGCUCUCUGCUGUGGCCCGGGAAGGCAGAGGAGGAUGGCCCAAGUGCUUGGGCCCUGCACCCCAUGGGAGACCAGAAUAAGUACCUGGCUCCUGCCAUUGGAUCAGCGUGGUGUGCCAGCCGCAGCACACUGGCCGCGGCAGCCAUUGGAGGGUGAACCAAUGGCAAAGGAAGACCUUUCUCUCUGUCUCUCUCUCUGUCCACUCUGCUUGUCAAAAAAAAAAAAAAAAAAAAUCUGGCUGCUCCACUAAUCAAAUAUGUGGUCUUGAACAAAUAAAUUCAUUACUAUAAGCCUCAUAUUCUUCAUCUAUGAAAUGAGUAUAUUAACACUUGCCUCACAGAACUGCAGAAAGGAGUGAAUGAGGUAAUGCAUGCAGAAAACACUAAGUAGAGGCAUGGCAUGUGGUAUGGGCUAACCUUAUCACUGUUUGAAAGGCAUGGAACAUGUAAUACUAUUCCAUCUCCUUCACAAUAUAAAAGUAUGAAAUAUUCAAAUAUUUUUAACUUGAAAAACAAAAUCAAGACAUGAUCUUAAAUAAGGCCAUACAUGGUAUUCUAUUUUUAUAUGCCCACUGCUAUGGGUACUAACAAGCAACAGUGAUAACAUCUUUGUUUUUCUCUGAUUGCCCUCUAGUGGUGAUUCUGACACUUAAAAAAAAAAGGAAACAACAUAAGUAAUAAGAGAUCAGGAUAGAUAACAACUAUCAAAACAAACAUCAAAAUUGGGGCCAGCAUUGUAGCAUAGCAGGUUAAACCACUGCUUGUGAUGCUGGCGUCCUGUUUCAGAAUGUCUGGUAAGUACCAGCUGCUCUGCUUCUAAUCCAGCUUCUGAUAAUGGACCUGGGAAAGCAGCUGAAGAUUGUCCAAAUUCUUGGACCUCUGUCACCCAUCUAGGAGACCAAAUGGAGUUCCCACCUCAUAGUUCAGCCUGGCCCAACCUCUGCUGUUGCAGCCAUUUAUAGCUGAAUGAGAAGUAAGAGCUCUCUUUCCCUGUCUCUUCUUCUCUCUGUCGUUCUGUUUUUCACAUAAAUAAAUCGUUAAAAAAUAAACAAACAUCAAAGUGAACAUUUCCCUCAGAUAUGUAAGUGUGAUUGAAUAUUUGUUCCAAAAAAAUGAGUAUACAGAAAUCUCUAGGUUAAGCAAAGCUAAGCAUUUUCCUUUUUUUGUGGGCCUCUGGAGACCAUCUAUGAAUAAUGUGACUCUCUAAAAGUUCUCAAACUUUAAUCAGCAAACACAUUUUUCAGUGGAACACCUAUUAUUUUGACAAUGAUUGGAGGACAUCUACACUAGGAGUUUACAUAACUAAUUACAGAAUUAAUAAUGAACUAGGUAACAGUAUUUAUUUAGUAACAAGUUUUAAAAGUAAUUACCAUGAAGAUGUAUAACAUAGGAGGACAUCUUGAGAAUGAGCUUGAAGAAACAUCAAUCUCCAAACGGAAUGCAUUUUAAUUAAACCUUUAAAGAUUUGUAUCUACAUUUAACAUUUAAGUAAUCAUUUUAUAAUACUUGUAUUACUUUAACAACUCUCAAAACUCUCAUAUAAAACUAAUCCACUAAAUGAAGGUAUAAUGUCCACAAAUGUUUAAAAUGGCUUAAAAUAUUAAAAUAAACUAAAAUCACUUCCUCACCUGUUUCAGCAAAAAAGAGAACCAGUAAUAGGAAAAUAUUUUUAAAGUACACAAAAAAUAGCAAAAGAUGACCUCUUUACCUGGGAUUUCCUCUUAGAGCAGCAUGGUGUAGAGCAUUAAAUCCAUUAUUGUUUGUAAUGGUAACAUCUGCUCCAGCUUCCAAAAGAACUGCCAGGAUAUCAUCACGUUUCUUACUUAUUGCAUCAUGGAGAGGGGUAUCACCUUCAGAAUCCUUUUUUGUUGUUGUUAAGUUUAAAGAGAUAUUCAUUAGUUCUUCUUAAACUAAUCACCACAUCUCAUAGCAAAACUGAAUUACUCAACAGAAAAAAGUAAACAGAGGCCAAAUCCAACAAUAAUUAAAAAAAGAUCAUGCUCUGGAUUAAAUAGGAGCAUUAAUUCAAAAAGUUCACAGAAAAAGGGAACUAAAACAUAAGUUUAUUUGGGCACAAGGAAUUCUGAAAUCCAUGCAUGGCUUUUUCAUAAUAUGCUUUCCAUAAAGUUGUUAAAACCCUUCCUAAGAAAAUGCAGGUAAGACACACUAGCCACAUUAAAUAGGCAUACUCAAAUCUAGAUGGAAAACACAAUAAACACGUUGUAGUUUUCCAAAUAAGAAAAUAAAUGUUAACUUGAAAUAUAAUUCACCUAAAAAAAUUAAUAAGGUGAAAAAGCUGCCAAAAAGAUGUAAUAAAUUUUAAAUGGCUUGCUACACCUUAUUUCUACCACUAAUGAUUGUACCCUGAAAUUCCAUCCAAACCUACACCAGGCUCAGGCCCCAUAACAACAAUAAAUUAAAAGUGAUUUUCAACUUAGCUGUACAUUAGACUCCAUUGGGGAGCUCUUAAAAGUCCUUAUGCUCAGGCUGUUCUCCAGAUCGACUAAAUUUCUAGAGGUGAGAGCCAAGUACCAAUAGUAUUUCAGAGCUCCCCAGAUGAAUAUAUUACAAAGUUAGAGAACCAUCAACCUAUAUGUUUUCAAAGAGCAGAAAAGUGGCUAAUUAGAUCAAAGUAAAAACAAACUGAAGUGAAAAUUUAGUAUUUUCAGACUACUUUUUUUGAAGCUAUUUUUUACAUUAACAAUUGAUUUACCUACUCACCAGCCAUUUGCAUAAAUGAGUAAUUUAGACUUCACUGAAUUCAUAGUUUCGUAGAUGUUACUGUCAGUAAAGUCUGAGAUAGCCUGUCCUGAGGCAUAUAGCACACUUGCCAGAUCAGUUUGCCACCUGUUUUUGUAAAUUAAGUUUUCAGUGGAACACAGACACACCAUUCAUUUAUGUACUAUCUAUGGCUGGUUCACUCUAUAAAGGCAGAGCUGGACAGUUGUGAUAUAUGAAAAUUUACAAUAUUGUCUUGUUACAGAAAAUGUAUGCCAAUCAUAGGCAUAUAUUCAUUCACCAACAGAAGGAAUUCUUAACCUCAAUGCAACCCAAUCAUCCACCUUCCAAAUUCCUGUUAAUCUUACAGCAUUAAAAACUUUUAUCUUUGGGGCUGGUGUUGUGGCACAGCAAGUUAAGUUACCACCUGUGGCUCCAGUAUCCCACAUGAAUUCUGGCUGUGCCACAACAAAUCCAGCUCCCUGCUAAUGAACCUGGAAAAGCAGAAGAUGGCCAAAGUGUGUGGGCCCAUGCCAUCCAUGUGGGAGAACUAGAAGAAACUUCAGACUUCUGGUUUCAGUCUAGCCCAACUCUAGCCAUUGUGGCCACUUGGGGAGUGAACCAGGGCAUGUUAAGAUCUAUUUCUCCCUUUCUCUCUACAAUUCUGCCUUUCAAAUAAAUAAAUAUGUUUUUAAAACAAAACAACCAAAAAAAAGUGUAUGUUCACCUUGAGAGGGGCUCUUGACAUUACUGGAAUACCCUUCUACAGGUUCCUGGUCUGUUGUGCCUCGGGUCCUCACAGUAGUUAUUCCAAACCUUUCUCAUUCUUCUCAAUCAUUCUACACUCUCAACACAUAACCUUGACUCUCAUUUCAGACAAAAAGAUCAAAAGGUAUAAAUUCCCUCUCCAUUGACAGAUUAAUACCCCAAUUCUCCCAUUCUCCAAGCCUGACACUCAUUAAUAAUGUCAUACACUAGACCCUGUCAGUUCCAGAAUGGUUAUACGUGAGAAACAUUGGUUCCUAAUAAUUAUCCAGCUUAGCAAAAUCUAUUCUUACAGUUCUUCUCAAACCCUCACUCUUAUUAUCUUGUUAUUUUUUUGUUAUAUCUCUGAGAUCUAUCCAAUCCAAUUCUUGGUUACUAUGAAUUAUCCAAACUACAGGCGGCUUAAAGUUCUAAUCCACUUUUUGUUUUAAUCAUUAGCUUUCUCUUUUAUACAAUGUAUUUUUUAAAUAUUCGAACAGUGUUUCAGGUAAUGUUUUUAUUUAAAAAUAACAUGCUAUUUCAAGCCUAUUCUGUUAAAGAUGAUCAUAAUAGAUAACAGUCUAAAAAUAGAACCUGAAAGUUAGCAAAUUAUGUUCUUGUGCUAUUUUAUUUUGCUAUGAAAUCAUUACAUAUCCAUACCAAUUUUGAGUUUUGACAGGUAGACAAAAGACAAGCUGUUUAGUAACCAAACUAUAAAUGAUGGACACAGAUUACACUUCCCUUAAAUAAAUGGCUUAACUCAUCUGGUGGCUAACACAGUGGUUAAGAAGACUCUGAGAAUUUUUAUGUGAUGAUCUUUGUUUCAAAAAUUAUGUCCUAUUGUAAAUCACUCUAAAACCCUAUAUAUUUGCCAAACCAGAAAAGCUACCAAGACUGAGGACUAGACCAAGACCCAAAGAAACAUUAAGCUAUGAUUAAAAUAAUUUAGAUAGCUAUGAAGUAACUUUUAUGAAAUACAGUCUGUUACACUUCUUUAAGCUGCCAAAACUCACUGUCAUGAUCAAUAGGGUUAAAUCAAAUGCAUUUAUAAACUAGUAUUUUUGACAGGAAACCCCACUUCCAUGGCACUCCACCCCCUACUCUGAACCAAAUCUACUGACAGUUUCUAGAAAAAAGAAGGUUUUCUAAGAAGGAAGAGCUGCCAAUUUUGUAACUUUCUUUAUCUUUGGUGUGCUUAGGAUAGACCUUAGUGCUCCCCUUUAAUGGGAACCUAGCAAUACUUGCAAAAUAUACAUAAAGAUUUUACCUGGAGACUGGGAUGACAACCAAAGUCCAAUAAAGUCUUCACUACUUGAAGAUGACCUUUAUUAACAGCAAUAUGAAGUGGUGUCUGCCGGCGUUUGUUGCGGGCAUUCAAAUCAGCACUGCCUCGGUGUAGUACUUCUAUAACAGCACCUUCAUCUCCAAAGGCUGCAUGGUGAACUGCUCUAUCUCCAUCUUUAUCCUAAACAUUAGUAUUUAAAUUUGAAUUAGUGAAUAUUUUAGAAGAAAAAACAAAACUAUAAUAAUAUACCAAGAACCAGAUUAAUUUGAGAAAAAUAAACAAAGUAGAGCCAACAAAGUAACCAGAACAGUGAUUAAUUCCAAAGAUAAAUGAUAAGCCUAGACCAAUAUAUUAUCAGACCAAUAGCUAUAUUUACUAGACUAAUAGUUACAUCAUAUAAACUACAUGUAGUUAAAUCAUUACUCUGGCCCCCUGAAUUUGUUACAGAUAACCAAUGAGAAUUUUAAGGGACAAGGUUACAGAAGACCUUCACAAGGUUAUCUCAAAGAAUUUAUAAAGGGACUUAUACUAAAGCUAACACUGAUCUUGACUCUAUUUUUCUCUCCCCCCUAUUCUUCCUCCCAAUUCUCCAAAAUCUGAUCUUGUUCCAAUAUUCCCUCUUAGCUGAUGGAACCACAGGUGAUAUGGUCAACAAAAUCAUUAUCCCUAACUCAUACUCAUCUACACUCUUUUUGAGUCCUCUAUUACACAGUCACCAAAUUCUAUAGCUUUUUUAAA